Molecule: ribosomal RNA, 216 nt
Filed under: uncultured bacterium
Lineage: Bacteria
Description: partial 16S ribosomal RNA
Rfam family: Bacterial small subunit ribosomal RNA
Source: RNAcentral
GUCUCAGUUCAGAUUGCAGGCUGCAACUCGCCUGCAUGAAGUCGGAAUUGCUAGUAAUCGUAGGUCAGCAUACUACGGUGAAUACGUUCCCGGGCCUUGUACACACCGCCCGUCAAACCAUGAGAGUUGGCAACACCCGAAGUCGGUAGCCUAACCGCAAGGAGGACGCCGCCGAAGGUGGGGUUGAUGAUUAGGGUUAAGUCGUAACAAGGUAGC